RNAcentral lists this ribosomal RNA (293 nucleotides) under uncultured prokaryote. Its description in RNAcentral is "partial 16S ribosomal RNA". It matches the Rfam family "Bacterial small subunit ribosomal RNA", at positions 505 to 796 of the family's 1533-position model. The record is from RNAcentral.
GUGUCAGCAGCCGCGGUAAUACGUAGGGUGCGAGCGUUGUCCGGAAUUACUGGGCGUAAAGAGCUCGUAGGUGGUUUGUCGCGUCGUCUGUGAAAUUCCGGGGCUUAACUUCGGGCGUGCAGGCGAUACGGGCAAUACUUGAGUGCUGUAGGGGAGACUGGAAUUCCUGGUGUAGCGGUGGAAUGCGCAGAUAUCAGGAGGAACACCGAUGGCGAAGGCAGGUCUCUGGGCAGUAACUGACGCUGAGGAGCGAAAGCAUGGGUAGCGAACAGGAUUAGAUACCCCGGUAGUCC